Non-coding RNA from Schistosoma margrebowiei, 45 nucleotides. The record is from Rfam. NCBI's taxonomy places the organism in Eukaryota, Metazoa, Platyhelminthes, Trematoda, Strigeidida, Schistosomatidae.
AUCCAACUGACGAGUCCCAAACAGGACGAAACGCGCGUCCUGGAU